UUCUGAUUAGACGAUGACUGUCACAUGUCAAUUUUUUAUUGGAGGUUGAUUCUAUAGACGAUGAAAAUGUAGUGUUGUUGUCAAUGUUCAUACAGAACGUGACAUGUGACAGUUAUCGUCC
Molecule: non-coding RNA, 121 nt
Organism: Glycine max (soybean)
Lineage: Eukaryota; Viridiplantae; Streptophyta; Magnoliopsida; Fabales; Fabaceae
Source: Rfam